UUUAUGGAGAGUUUGAUCCUGGCUCAGGAUGAACGCUGGCGGCGUGCCUAAUACAUGCAAGUCGAGCGAACAGACGAGGAGCUUGCUCCUCUGACGUUAGCGGCGGACGGGUGAGUAACACGUGGAUAACCUACCUAUAAGACUGGGAUAACUUCGGGAAACCGGAGCUAAUACCGGAUAAUAUAUUGAACCGCAUGGUUCAAUAGUGAAAGACGGUUUUGCUGUCACUUAUAGAUGGAUCCGCGCCGCAUUAGCUAGUUGGUAAGGUAACGGCUUACCAAGGCAACGAUGCGUAGCCGACCUGAGAGGGUGAUCGGCCACACUGGAACUGAGACACGGUCCAGACUCCUACGGGAGGCAGCAGUAGGGAAUCUUCCGCAAUGGGCGAAAGCCUGACGG
RNAcentral lists this ribosomal RNA (399 nucleotides) under Staphylococcus epidermidis. Its description in RNAcentral is "bacterial SSU rRNA". It matches the Rfam family "Bacterial small subunit ribosomal RNA", at positions 1 to 389 of the family's 1533-position model. Lineage: Bacteria; Bacillati; Bacillota; Bacilli; Caryophanales; Staphylococcaceae. The record is from RNAcentral.